AUGGACAGGCAGCUGGGACCUAGGAGAACCAAGAGGAGGGUGCGGGUGGGCUCUUCCCCAGCCCCCACCUGCGUUCACCUGACUGACACCCACACCCCGCCCCCCACGGUGCUCGCAGCAGCCCCGGGCCUGCAACUGCCGCCCCUCCCGCUGCUUUUGUUGUUCCUGGGUGCUUGGCGGAAGCCUGUGGAUGAUGCAGUCCCCAGGGCUCCACGUUCUCACUUCACCUUCCCCACAGCCUGUCCUGAUGCAAUGGCUGCAGGCUGGGGGCAGGGGUGGGGGGCCCUCCCUGCAUCACCCCCUCCCUAUACACACACACACACACACACCCUCCCGGCAUCACCCUGUCCCUACACACACACACACACAUACCCUGCCACCAACCCCACCUCCAAUUCCUCCCUUCUGCUCACCCAUCACCCAUGCCCGGGAGAAGCGCUGGACCAGUGCUGAGGGGUUCUCCACGUAACGUACUGGAUAAAGCCAGUGCGGGGACCUCUGGAGCCUGUGCAACCUUGGUGGCAAAUAUCUGAUCGGCCAGCCCCUGGGACAAGUGGACCCACCAGUGAUGGGGCCCCGAGGACAAGAGGCACGCCUGGUGCCCAGCCGAAUAAUUUAUGCCUUGACCUGGUUUUGAGGUAGGAAUGAAAGGGGAUCCAUCAAAGGCAUCUGUCCCCUGACACACAGUACGACCUUUACUGUCGUAAAUAUUUUUAAGAAAAUUUUAAAAAUACAGUGUUUAAAAACAACCAAGAGGCUGCCAUCCUUUUGUGGGCAGAACAUGUCCUAGCGAGCUGCGCUCUGACAACGAGAGGCGGAUGAGGGGCUCCUGUCAGGAAGGGGCAUGUCCACCCCUCGCUCCCUACAGCAUCCCCUGCCAGGGCCACCUGUCUGGGGUGGGCAGCUCAGUGAUGGGGUCCUCCCUCCCUCCCACGCCCACUGUUCCUUCUUUAGCCAGUGUAGAUGGUUGAAAGCACAUAUCCCUAUAGCUUCUACCCCUUCGUUCCCUCUCUUUUCUCCCAGAUUUCUCUAGGCUGACAUCUCAGGGCCGAUUUUCAGACCCUGACUUCCAGUUUCCUCACCUUGCUAUUCUCAUGCCGCUGGAAUCCCAAGAAACCAGGAGAACCUCAGAAAUUAUUUGGUCCCUUUCCCCCAUAGAGGAGGACACUCAGAACCAGAGAAAUUAAGAGCGAGCCCCUGGUUCCACAGCAAAUUCCAGACGAAUUUCAGGACUGGUGUCCCUCAGGCCACACUGUCACUCUCACCCAGCCGUAGACGGGUUUGAUCUGAAGAGGUAGAAGGAAUUGAUAUGCAGUCACUUCUGAUUUGUCAUGGGAAUAUUUUUUCCUCAAAUGGUGAAACCAAAAUCAGAAGGUAGCAUUUAAAAAUCAUACUUCAUUUGAGUCAUCACCCUCAUAAGUGGAGUAUGACCCCACACCCAAAAGUGCAUUGUUUGGUAGCAAGUCUUCUGUAGAACACCAUCGACUGAGAAUGCUUUCAUAUGAAACCUUUUGGAAACUGGCAUUCACAUUUUAAAAAUCUGCCUUGUGCUGUCACACCACAGGCCACACAAUCUAUCAAUAGAUCAGAUGCAGCCCAGAAGUCACUGAAAUGCAACCCCUGGACUCAGAGGCCAUGUUUAUCUCUGGGAUGUCACAGUCCCUCCAUGCCCCCCGCUACCUGAGGCAAAGAACAGCUAAAGGGUCAAAAGGUAGAAAAAGUGGGAGGCUUGUCUGAAUCUUCAGGGCCUUCAGCCCUCACACUGUGCUGCUCUCGUCUUCUCUAUCUUAGCAGUUCUCUCUUUCUGAAAUCAUUUGCUGUGGGGUGUAAGUAUCUUAAGGCACGACUGCCCUUAAGAGUGCUGGUGGGACAAGCAGGA
RNAcentral lists this long non-coding RNA (1879 nucleotides) under Bos grunniens (domestic yak). RNAcentral's name for it is "lncRNA (ENSBGRG00000022055.1)". Lineage: Eukaryota; Metazoa; Chordata; Mammalia; Artiodactyla; Bovidae. The record is from RNAcentral.